CACACACACACACACACACACACACACACACACCCGCCUCUCCCAGGACUCUGGGUCUCUGGGAUCUGGUUUAGGAGAGGGCUUGGAGUCCUUUGCCCCUUUGCCUGAUGGUGACCUUUCUGGCACCCGCCUAAGUUAGCAAAUAUGAGCAGGAUUCGGUGAGAGCAAGGGAUAUGAGUGUCCUGGUGGUGUUUAUGCUUUCAUCCUGCGCACAAUGAGACGGUCCCACACCUGACUGGCUGGUCCCCUGGGGAUGUCUGUCAUAUUUCUUUACUGUGGUAGAAGGAAGAAAACCCGUUCAUUUGACCUUGGAAUGCCUGUGGAAACUCUCGCCAGGCCCCAAUUUCUGUUCUUUUUUCUUCCAGGGCGCUGGCUGUCACCUGAGCGUCCCAGCCCAGUGCUGAGUGUGGUGGUACCCUUCAGAGCUCAUGGCUCCCUGCCUGACUGUGCCGUCUCCUGCUGUGCUGGUCAGACAAGCCGUGCACACUCUCCCAGAGGCGGCUGAUUGUUAUGAAAACCUUUGCCACAUAAACAGAAACAAGACACGGACUCUUGCAGAUACGAGUGCCAGCAAAUGCCAGCAACUUUUCUCUUCUAACCUCUGGAACACAAUUGCAUCAGCUUAGCCGUGUGACUGGGAAGAAAUACCAGCUCGAAGACCAUCUGGUGCCCGUGUUGACUAGAGGCAUUGGAUUCCUUGGAGCUUGUGAGCCAACAGACAUGGGCACUAGUCACCUAAUGGGGUCCUCUGCAGGAAGAGCAUACUGUUAACUUUCCCUCUAGGUGUCUUUCCCUUGCUUUUCGAGAGGCAGCUGUGGAGCAAGAGAGAACUUUGCCAGAAGGUUCUUCCUCCUCAGCGAGCCACUGUCCUCAGAUAUGCAAGACUCAAAGGCCAACAGAGGCCACAGAGGGAGGAGAUCACCCCAAAUAACAUCAGAAGCUUCUUAUCUGUGCUCAAUGGAGACUCACAGACAGACAUUUUCAUAAUGUUUAAAUGGCAAUUAUUGGCAAAUCUUGUACAUGUAUGUGUUUUGACCAUAUCCAUACUAACUCCCUCCAGUUCUACAUACUGACUUCUCUCUACUGGAUCUCCCAGCUUCACCAUUUAAUUUGCCAAACCUUUUUUUUCCCAGAAUAUUUAGCCCAUUGAAUCAUAAAGAAAAAGAAGUAAGCUUUUCAGAUAAAUGUAUUUCUUCUAGGUACGACUGAAAUCAUUUUAUGGAGAAUGAGACUUGAGACUGGAAAGAGAUGGCGUCAUCAGUGAGUGAUCCUCUGGAGUGAUACCUACAGGCCAUUAAUGAAGUCAGUGGGCUUACACAUAAAAUAACACCCAGGAGGAUGCCACUUAUGUUAGAAAAAAGAGGAGGGGAAAUAAUCGUAGCUAGAUGCCAGACAGUGCUGGCUGCUUUGCGUAAUAGACUCUUGGGACCCUAAAAUCUGUCCUAUGAAUUAGUCAGUUUGAGAUGUUAAGUGUCUUGCUCAAAGCCAGAUAGGAAAUAGUGGAGCCAGGCUCUAAGCCAAGCAGUUAGUGUGUAUCCCAUACCCCGCCCUGCAAGCAUGGCUCAGGUUAUAGAAGCAUAAACUCACACAAUAAAGUCAGAUAUAUUCACAUAAACUGAAAA
Long non-coding RNA from Arvicola amphibius (Eurasian water vole), 1622 nucleotides. RefSeq lists it as uncharacterized. The record is from RefSeq and is a predicted model, not a curated record. The transcript has 3 exons. NCBI's taxonomy places the organism in Eukaryota, Metazoa, Chordata, Mammalia, Rodentia, Cricetidae.